CCCAGACACAGAGGAAGCAAGAUGAAAAUGCCUCGCUGAAAAAGGCUAGCCUGCAAUGCACUUGUAAACAAAGCUGGCCUUAAACUUGUGGCAAUCCUCCUGACUAAGACUCCCAAGAGCUGAUAUUACAGGUGACUCAGCAUCUUGCAGCCACUCUCUGCCACCUCGGGAACAAGGGCAUGCCUCUGCAUCAACUCCAAGACAUUCAGGAGUGUGGACAGUGCAUGCGCAGAGGCUUGGAAGACAUCUUUGGAGGACGAAUGCAUCAGCAUGGACAGCAUCACUUCCCUGUGUGCCGGGAACCUUUCAAAAAGCCAACCACAUCUCAGUUUGCAGUCUCCAGCUCCCAUGCUCACCCUGCCUAUGAACUCUGACAAGGCAGGCCCGGAAGCUGAGUGGACACCACCCCACUCACAAUAAAAACACAAGCUGAAAAACUCUCUAAGUAAAGGUUGGAUUCAAGCAUA
Molecule: non-coding RNA, 467 nt
Organism: Myodes glareolus (Bank vole)
Lineage: Eukaryota; Metazoa; Chordata; Mammalia; Rodentia; Cricetidae
Source: RefSeq, a predicted model, not a curated record